CCCUGGUUAGCUCAGUUGGUAGAGCGCUCCACCUGUAAUGGAGAGGUCCCGGGUUCGAUCCCCGGACCGGGCG
RNAcentral lists this transfer RNA (73 nucleotides) under Ixodes scapularis (black-legged tick). It matches the Rfam family "tRNA". Rfam says of the family: Transfer RNA (tRNA) molecules are approximately 80 nucleotides in length. Their secondary structure includes four short double-helical elements and three loops (D, anti-codon, and T loops). Further hydrogen bonds mediate the characteristic L-shaped molecular structure. tRNAs have two regions of fundamental functional importance: the anti-codon, which is responsible for specific mRNA codon recognition, and the 3' end, to which the tRNAs corresponding amino acid is attached (by aminoacyl-tRNA synthetases). tRNAs cope with the degeneracy of the genetic code in two manners: having more than one tRNA (with a specific anti-codon) for a particular amino acid; and 'wobble' base-pairing, i.e. permitting non-standard base-pairing at the 3rd anti-codon position. The record is from Rfam by way of RNAcentral. Lineage: Eukaryota; Metazoa; Arthropoda; Arachnida; Ixodida; Ixodidae.